This 1078-nucleotide long non-coding RNA is filed under the name Salmo salar (Atlantic salmon). RNAcentral's name for it is "lncRNA (ENSSSAG00000113326.1)". The record is from RNAcentral. Lineage: Eukaryota; Metazoa; Chordata; Actinopteri; Salmoniformes; Salmonidae.
CUGGAUGUAUAGCGAAGUGGACUGUUUUGGUUGGGGCGCGUGAUCUGAAGUUCGCUCCACUUUCAUUUUAUCUGCUAUUGAACGCAGUUUAUCCCGUCUUAAAUUUUAUCGAUUAUUUACGUUUUAAAAUACCUAAAGUUGGAUUAGGAAAGUUAUUUGAAAUGUUUGGAUAAAGUUUACAGGUAACUUAUUAGAUAUUUUGUAGUCAUGCUGGACGAGUUGGAACCGGUGUUUUUCUGAAUCAAAGGCGCCAAAUAAAUGGAUAUUUUGGAGAUAUAACGACGGAAUUAAUUGAACAAAAGGACCAUUUGUGAUGUUUAUGGGACAUAUUGGAGUGCCAACAGAGAAGCUCUUCAAAGGAGGGGUGCGUCACUUGAGUCGGUUGAGUCACUGACGUGGUCUUCCUGUCUGGGCUGGCGUUGUGCCGUGGCGGAGAUCUUUGUGGGCUAUACUCGGCCUUGUCUCAGGAUGGACCUGAGCCCUGGGACCAUGCCUCAGGACUACCUGGCAUGAUGACUCCUUGCUGUCCCCAGUCCACCUGGUCGUGCUGCUGCUCCAGUUUCAACUGUUCUGCCAGCGGCUAUGGAACCCUGACCUGUUCACCGGACGGGCUACCUGUCACAGACCUGCUGUUUUCAACUCUCUAGAGACAGCAGGAGCGGUAGAGAUACUCUCAAUGAUCAGCUAUGAAAAGCCAACUGACAUUUACUCUUGAGGUGCUGACUUGUUGCACCCUCGACAACUACUGUGAUUAUUAUUAUUUGACCAUGCUGGUCAUUUAUGAACAUCUUGGCCAUGUUCUGUUAUAAUCUCCACACGGCACAGCCAGAAGAGGACUGGCCACCCCUCAUAGCCUGGUUCCUCUCUAGGUUUCAUCCUAGGAUUUGGCCUUUCUAGGGAGUUUUUCCUAGCCACCGUGCUUCUACACCUGCAUUGCUUGCUGUUUGGGGUUUUAGGCUGGGUUUCUGUACAGCACUUUGAGAUAUCAGCUGAUGUAAGAAGGGCUAUAUAAAUACAUUUGAUUUGAUUUGAAUAGGGUUUAGAUGACUGUGCUGGCCUCUCCAUUAUAGACAGAAUA